RNAcentral lists this long non-coding RNA (2125 nucleotides) under Carica papaya (papaya). Its description in RNAcentral is "long non-coding RNA (CPAP_LNC005835)". Lineage: Eukaryota; Viridiplantae; Streptophyta; Magnoliopsida; Brassicales; Caricaceae. The record is from RNAcentral.
GCCAUUUAGCCAUGUGUGUGGAUAGGUGGCAUGAUCCAAGCAUGAAAAACCUAGAUCUUGUCUUGUAGAUCCAACAGUUGAUGCGGAGUCCAUAUAGGGAAACCUUAAAUCAGGUUUCUAAAAAGAGGAGGGGCGAGUUCGAGCCGAAAAAAGAAGGUGAGGAGAGACAGAGAGUGAUGAGCGAGAAAGGAGAGAGAGUGACAAGCAGGAAGAGAGAAAGAGACAAUAACGGGAGAGAGGGAAUGAGGCCGUUGUGUGCGUGGUGGAAGAAGAAGGGCUAUGCACGGUUGCAGAAUAGGCAAUCAUCGCGGCGACCGAAGAAAAAGAAUAAGAGGAACUCUUGCUGGGAUUUUUCUUAUUAUGUUUCCUAUCUUCUUGCCUUGUUUGGUUAUUCCCUUCAGCCAUGCUUCACCUUCCAAGUUCUCGGUAAGUUUUUUAUUCUGUUUGCAUAUGUUUUCUAAUGGUUUACUUUUUGUUUUCUCUUAUCAUUUUCGGCUGAGAAAAUUUGGGUAAUUUCUGCUUUUUUCGCUUUAAUGGAAGAUGGACUCGACACAAAUUCUCCAUGGAAGUUAGUUUCCUUUUUUAAUUCUGGAUUUCAGUGUUAAUGAGCAUUUGUUUUGAAAAUGUUGUGGGAAUUUAAUCCAACGUCUUGGCGGAAUUUCAUUUAUUAAUCUCUGGAGUAACUAUUUACAGAAAUGUUUGUCAAAAUUAGAAACUUGGUUAAUAUGUAGACUUUAAUUUUAUGGUAUUGUUUGUUUUUUUGAUAUAUUUUAUUAGUUAGGAGCUGGUUUAUGGUUGAGAAUAAGAAAGGCCAAACACUAAAGUGUAGAAGGUUACUAAAGAUAGAGAGGGAGGCUACAAAAUUAUUUAUGUAUUUAAAAAUAUUUAUUUAAAAUUUUACAGAUUAUUUAAUGCUUUGUUUUAGUAUAUAUGUACUUUCUGCAGAUCACCAUGUGCAUGUAUGUAUAUUGUACGUGGGAACAGAUUGUUUAUAGAUGAGAAUGUAUGUGUAAUUUUAGAAAAUUAUAUGUGAAUAUAUAUAUAUAUAUCUGCAUGUAUAAAAAUAUUUAUAUGUAUAUUUAUAGCACCGAUUGAAUGUAUAAAUAUGUGUUUACUAAAUAUCUAUAUUUAUGUACAAUAGAAUGCAUGUACAUAAGCUGCAAAUAUACUGUGUUAGGUAUGUAAAUAUGUGUAUAUAUAUAUAUAAAUUUGGAUAUGUUUGGAUACAUGUACAUACAUAUGUAAAUAUAUACAUAUAAAGUUGUGUGUAUAUAUUUAUAUAAUAUAUCUAGGUAUAUACCUAUUUAUAUAUAUGAAUUUUGUGUAUUGGAUCGUAUAUAUAUAUAUAUAUAUAUGUGAAGUAUGGGUGUGUAUUAUGCAUAUAUGUGCAUGUUGAUUUAUGAAAUGGUGUGUGAGUUACGUGUAACUAGAAAUUAUAUCUAUAUUUAUGAAUGUUAAAAAAGGAUAGUAUACACGCACAUAGAUAUAUAUAUAUAUGCACGCAGGAUUUUUUUAUGUGUGUAUAUAUAUAAAUAAGUGUGCAAUGCGUAUGAAUGUUAAAUGGAAAAUUUGUAUAUAUAUAUAUAUAAAUAUACAAAACUACAUAAGUGGUGUGAGAGUUCGUGUGCUGUAAAUGUAUAUAUAAAUAUGCAUGUUGUGUGAAUAUUUAAAGAUACUACUAUGCAAUAGGUAUGUAUAUAUAUAUAUAUAAGAUUUUGGAAUAGGAACAUAGGAAUACAAAAUUACAUACUAAAAGUUGAAGCAUAUGCAUGAUUAUAUUAUAUAUAUAAAUAUGAACAUGUCUUAUACAUAUGUGCUAUUAUAUGAAAUAAAUAUAUACUUAUGAGAGAUAGGAAGAUAUUGAUGGAAGUAUAUGUAUAUAUAUAUAUAUCAUUAUGUAUGUAUUUAUAUAGAAAUGCAGCUUAAGCAUUUGUGUGUGUGUGUGCUGCACAUGUUUGUAUGUAGGAGAUUGUAUAUAUAUAGGAUUGCAUAAAGUGUAUACCAUGUUUGCAUAUACAUGAAAGGUACUUGACUUGGUUUCGAGGUGGUUGGUCGUGUUGAGAUACUUGACUUGGUCACAGGUUGGUAUGUAUGACAGUGGAGGAAAAUUGGAGGCCAAANNNNN